UACUCAUUCUGAUCCAACGAAACUAAACCAGUGGGUUUGAAAUUGCCGUUCAUGUCGGGUUAGCAUUUGUCCAUAUCUGUAGCAAUAACCUUAUUGGUUGUGUUCAGUUCUUAGUGCUUAUAGUUCAAAGCAACUGCUAUGUUUUGUGGCUGUUGCAAGGUGCUUCUUGGCUGGAAGAUGGUGGUCAGGCUAGCUGCCAAUUAAAUUUGCUGGAAGAUAUCUCAUUAAUUGCUUCAAAAUUUCUAGCACGUUUCUCAUGUGUUACAUUAGGAUUAUAUGGUACUGCACGCUAUUUUUUCAUGGUGUUUUACGGCUAGGAUUGAUGCUACCCCCUGGAGAAAUAUAGAUCGACAUGCAUAAGGUUUUCCACAUCAUUUAGAUAUGUUCAAAAACAAAAGAUUAUUGUAGAAGUAACACCAUGAGCCAACAGAGAGGAUGUGAAUAAUCUUGAACUACAAGUGUGCAAGUGGCUGCACACACCAUUAUGGCGAGGUGCUGGCAAGAGGUGGAGAUGAGCAUGAAGCUAUUGCUGCUCAAACCAUGUGAAAGGAGCAAAGAUCAACGCCAAAACAUGUAUGUUGUGAAUAAUUUAUCAUGUUCCAAUCUCCAUGCCCUCCUCCUCCCACGCCAAGUUUCCUCCCUUCAUGCAUCCUCUCCCAACCAUGGCGCUUUUGCCAUGGACCUGGUCGUUGCCGCCAUCGUCCUGGUGCAGGGGAGGAGUGUUGGCUGCCAGAGGCCAUCCAAGGCGCCAUCGCCGCCAUCCUUCGGGUCCUCUCGCCGCUUCCUCUGCCUUGCUAGAUGAGUUGUUGCUUGGUCCUCUCUCUCAUGGAAGUGCUGAUGCUCCUUUUGUCUCUAAUUUAUCACAAGCCGCUCUCCUUUUUUAUGUGUAUGUGUGCGUUCUGAUGUAGAUAUAUUGUUGCGGGCAAACUGUUCGAUGAUAUGCUUAUGAGGCAUGGAAACGUUCAUCCUUAUGGAUCUAUGGUUACAUCAGCAAGGAAGAUAUGCAUAGCUUUUCCUAUAAUGAAAAAUGGCCAUCGGAAACGUUCCAUGCCGCGCACAGGACCAGUAACCUCCACACCUAUCAAUUGGUUCCCUCUAGCCCCUGGUGUUUUUUAUACUACAGAGCAUGAAUAUAUUUUAUCAUUGUUUUGUAGUACGUCGUAUUAUCAGUAAAAUAGUUUGUUUGAUGGCUUAUAUAUGCACUUCUUCUUUUCAGGUUCAAUUUAGAGCCAUUGAUCUAUCAUAAAGCAUGAUGAUAAGUGUACUGCGGCAUGCAGGUUACUGUUGUUUGGACCAUGCAUCACAUAUUGUGGACUCUGAUCUUGCUGCCAAUUGAUGGACAUGAGUUUGAGGAAAACUACCAGCUUCCAUGAUUCAAUGCGUGUUGGACGCCUAUAUAUAGUGCAGAUUUCUGCUUAAUUAAUUAUUCUCUUGCACAUUCUUGGUUGUUGAGAUUCUAAAAAAUUUCAUCCUUGAUGCGAUGAUGAAGCCCAACCAUAAGUACGAGACCUACUCACAUGGCCGAGUAGGUAAAAUAGUGGCCACCAUCACAUUCUACCCAUCAAUUCACCGCCCUUGUCCUGCCUAUGGGAGUCUUAGCUGUGUAGAAGUCGUAUGGACAGUUUUGAGGAUGCAAAUAAGAUAAUAAAGGAUAAUCCAUGCUAAAUUAUUAUAAAUUUUAGAUUCCAUACACAUUCUCUCUUCUCUGUUAAAGCACCUCUCAUGGUCUCAUAGCUCAAAUGUGAUAUCAACAAACCUAUCACUUAGAUUAUUGUGCUAUCUUAUUCUCGAGCGAGCUUUUGUUGAUUACA
Non-coding RNA from Lolium perenne, 1811 nucleotides. The record is from RefSeq and is a predicted model, not a curated record. Lineage: Eukaryota; Viridiplantae; Streptophyta; Magnoliopsida; Poales; Poaceae.